Molecule: ribosomal RNA, 433 nt
Filed under: uncultured bacterium
Lineage: Bacteria
Description: partial 16S ribosomal RNA
Rfam family: Bacterial small subunit ribosomal RNA
Source: RNAcentral
AGCGAACGCUGGCGGCAGGCCUAACACAUGCAAGUCGAACGAACUCUUCGGAGUUAGUGGCGGACGGGUGAGUAACACGUGGGAACGUGCCUUUUGGUUCGGCAUAACUCAGGGAAACUUGUGCUAAUACCGAAUGUGCCCUUCGGGGGAAAGAUUUAUCGCCAUUAGAGCGGCCCGCGUCUGAUUAGCUAGUUGGUGAGGUAACGGCUCACCAAGGCGACGAUCAGUAGCUGGUCUGAGAGGAUGACCAGCCACACUGGGACUGAGACACGGCCCAGACUCCUACGGGAGGCAGCAGUGGGGAAUCUUGCGCAAUGGGCGAAAGCCUGACGAAGCCAUGCCGCGUGAAUGAUGAAGGUCUUAGGAUUGUAAAAUUCUUUCACCGGGGACGAUAAUGACGGUACCCGGAGAAGAAGCCCCGGCUAACUUCGUG